GACACGCAGCCGCAAGGAGCUGGAGCAGCGGGAGGCGGCAUGGAGGCGCGAGGAGGAGGACCUGCUGCAGCUGGGAGGGGAGCUGGCCCGGACAUCACGAGCUGUCCAGGAGGCGGGCCUGGGACUGAGCACGGGCCUGUGGCUGGCAGAGAGCCGGGCCAAGGCAGCCCUGGAGAAGCAGGCCCUGCUGCAGGCCCAGCUGGAGGAGCAGCUGCGGGACAAGGUGCUCCACUAGAAGGACCUGGCCCAGCAGCAGAUGCAAAGUGACCUGGACAAGGCUGACCUCAGUGCCAGCUUCCCAAAGUGCUGGGAUUACAGGUGUGAGCCACCACGCCCGGCCACUAUUUGCAAAUAUUACCAUUUUGGAAAUAUUACCAAGAUGUUACCAUUGGAGGAAACGGAGUAAGGCGUACAAGGGACCUCUCUUUUUCUGAGUUAAGAUUGUAUGUGAAUUAUUAAAACGUAAAAAUUAACUUUAAGAAA
Long non-coding RNA from Homo sapiens (human), 483 nucleotides. Ensembl annotates it as CROCC pseudogene 3. Its record names the gene CROCCP3. Lineage: Eukaryota; Metazoa; Chordata; Mammalia; Primates; Hominidae. The record is from Ensembl.